RNAcentral lists this ribosomal RNA (253 nucleotides) under uncultured bacterium. Its description in RNAcentral is "partial 16S ribosomal RNA". It matches the Rfam family "Bacterial small subunit ribosomal RNA", at positions 524 to 776 of the family's 1533-position model. The record is from RNAcentral.
UACGGAGGGGGCAAGCGUUAUUCGGAAUUAUUGGGCGUAAAGGGCGCGUAGGCGGCUUGACAAGUCAAAGGUGAAAUCCCUCGGCUCAACCGAGGAACUGCCUUUGAAACUGUCUGGCUUGAGGCCGGGAGGGGGUAGCGGAAUUCCCAGUGUAGCGGUGAAAUGCGUAGAUAUUGGGAGGAACACCAGUGGCGAAGGCGGCUACCUGGACCGGUUCUGACGCUGAUGCGCGAAAGCGUGGGUAGCAAACAGG